This 476-nucleotide ribosomal RNA is filed under the name uncultured bacterium. Its description in RNAcentral is "bacterial SSU rRNA". It matches the Rfam family "Bacterial small subunit ribosomal RNA", at positions 28 to 510 of the family's 1533-position model. The record is from RNAcentral.
GAUGAACGCUGGCUGUGUGCCUAAUACAUGCAUGUCGAACGAAGCACUUGUGCUUAGUGGCGAAUGGGUGAGUAACACGUACUUAAUCUACCUCUAGGUUUGGGACAACAAUUGGAAACGAUUGCUAAUACCGAAUAUCCUUUUAUCGCAUGAUAUGUAAGGUAACGUCGUGUCGCAAGAGAUGAGAGUGCGGUACAUUAGUUAGUUGGUAGGGUAAUGGCCUACCAAGACGAUGAUGUAUAGCGGGGUUGAGAAGCUGAACCGCCACACUGGGACUGAGAUACGGCCCAGACUCCUACGGGAGGCAGCAGUAGGGAAUAUUCCACAAUGAGCGAAAGCUUGAUGGAGCGACACAGCGUGCAGGAUGACGGUCUUCGGAUUGUAAACUGCUGUUAUAAGGGAAGAAACAUCAAUGUAGGAAAUGACAUUGACUUGACGGUACCUUAUCAGAAAAGCACCGGCAAAACUAUGUGCCA